Molecule: long non-coding RNA, 656 nt
Filed under: Monodelphis domestica (gray short-tailed opossum)
Lineage: Eukaryota; Metazoa; Chordata; Mammalia; Didelphimorphia; Didelphidae
Description: lncRNA (ENSMODG00000044164.1)
Source: RNAcentral
GUUUCUAGGCAGAGAUACUGGAAUUGUUUGUCAUUUCCUUCUCCAUCCCAUUUUACAGAUGAAGAAACUGAGGCAAGAAAGGUUAGGUGACUUGCUCAGAGCCACACAGGUCUGAAGUCUAGUGUCUGAAGCUGGAUUUGAACCCAAGAAGAUGAGUCUUCCUGAUUCCAACCAAGCCUAGUGCUCUAUCCACUGUGUCAUCUAACUGUCCUAAAAAUGGCUAUGAAGAAUUAGAGUCAUUGAAGUCCACCAGCAAGACAAAAGUCAGGAUGAGUGGUGUGGCUUGGGUUGCAUUAGAUGACCUUGGUUCCACAGCCUGUUUCAGCCACCUUGAUGUGUGUAGGAACAAACUGUUCUCAUCCACCCAUUCCAUCAGGGAGAGACCCAGAGAAGGUGACUCUCCCAUGUUCUGGAGUUUGCUGCAACAGCACUACGUUACCUAUAAACAGGAGCAUGUUGAGGACCUCAAGGAAAUCCCACUUCAAUUUUGAUGUUACUCUGCACAUUCUACAUGAUGGAAAAUAUCUUGGGGGGAAGGUUUCAGAAAACAGGACUGUAUUGGUACCUUCAUGAUCAGUAGGGGUGAAGGAAGAAGUAAAAGGAUGCCCGAGGGAAGAAAAAGAAGAAUCUAGGGAACUGAAAAAUAAACAGAUGGC